UCCCGUAGCCGAGGACGAGGCGAGGAUCUCGGAGAGCAACGUGAUGGUGGGGAUCCAUUGCUAGGACGCAAGAGGGUGCUUGUCAGGCUGCUCGCCGAGGUCGAGGGGCUACACCUAAUCAUCACGCACGCCAAUGUCAUCCCGUUCCUGGCUUCCACUGUUAUCAUAACCUUCAUGGCAAAGGUGGAUGAGGGCUUCAAUGUCUUGGCCUGCAGUCGGUAUCAUUCAUCACCGUGCUUGACGGAACUGCUCGCCACCGAGUCGGGUGCACCACAAGUACGAACACGCCGCCAUCUACCCACUCCUCCCUUGCUGUAGGUCGGCAGAUGGUGAGGAACGUCCAUCCCAUGGUUGCAAGUUUCAUCGUCCCACGAUUAUAAACAAACUGGUUGAGACUUGACGGCCAGGUUAUUUAGACUGACCUACUGAACCAGGAACCAAGAUUGCUGUGUUUCAACAAUUGAGAAAAUAUCACAUAUGCAAAACCAGCUACCGACCAGAUUGUUAGAUCCUGGUGGUGUAAAUAAGAACGAAAGCUUCUGAAGAGAUCGGUGCACUAUCUCUUAUGCAAUGCUACUGCAAUUGAUUACUUUCCAAUCUCUGAUUUAUUCUGCUCAUAUUUAUUGGGAACACUAGGAGGCAUUGCAAUAUCAUGGUAGCAAUGACAAUUACUAGCUAGCUGAACUGAGGAUGUGGGGUUAAGGUUGGAAUGGAUAAACCUGGGUGGUUACUGCCAAGCAUUUGAAGAAAAUUGAGCCAAUGGAGUGUCUUGAAAGCAUCUCCAUAUUUACAGCUGAACAGAUUUGUUGUCAUAUGAAACAGAGAGAUUGUACCACACUUUGUAAAAUGCCGAGGCACAUUACAUGUUCUUUCUUACUACUUAUUUUACCACAUAUAAAAAGGUUUCAUUAUUGCUGCUACCCUAAGAAUUGUGUCAUCAUUCCUUAUAAUUGCAGUUUUUCAUCCUUUGGGAAUUUAGGAUGCAAGGGAUGGUAUUUCAUCAAAGGUGAUUUUUGGCUUGAAG
Triticum dicoccoides is the source of this 1024-nucleotide long non-coding RNA. RefSeq lists it as uncharacterized. The transcript has 5 exons. Lineage: Eukaryota; Viridiplantae; Streptophyta; Magnoliopsida; Poales; Poaceae. The record is from RefSeq and is a predicted model, not a curated record.